This 620-nucleotide long non-coding RNA is filed under the name Venturia canescens. RNAcentral describes it as "uncharacterized LOC122408822, transcript variant X2". The record is from RNAcentral. Lineage: Eukaryota; Metazoa; Arthropoda; Insecta; Hymenoptera; Ichneumonidae.
GUUUCAAGUAAAACGAAUCGGUUACGGGUCUUUGCUGUUUUUACGGCCUAAUGGCAAUUGUUUUUGGGAUAAUCGGCACUCUGGCCCCGACCAUCGACUGCGUAAUUGUCAACGACAUUCAUGCUCCUUGUCCGCGUGGACAGGUGAGGGAUUCCAAUGGACAUUGUCGUGCAUGCAAUGGCUGUGGCAAGAAAUAACGGAUGGUCAAAACUAUAGUAGAAUAACACCUGAUAUCAUGAUUAAUCUACCGAGGACAUUGUUACGCUGAAAUUCGCGAAUAUCUUAUGUCGCAGUACAACAGAAGUUCGUUGAGACGAAGCAUGCCAUCAUCGUGUUGGAUGUUCUCUUGUGGUUCAAGCUCCACCGCGGGCUCCACUGCCUUUUAUUUCAUCGAAUUUCUCGACGACAUCUUUAAAAUUACAAUUCAUUUACUUAGUCAUGUGAAACAAUGACCGAUUAAAAAAUGAAAAUUGGAAUGGCUACAAAUGUACGCAAUUGAAAAACGAAACUCACAAUCUUCAGCGGACAUCACAGCGCAACGUUGUUAUUUUUGGAUGAAAUUAUGUAAAAAAAAUCAUAACAACAGUUCGAAAUAUAAAUGAAAUGAUGUCAAAAUUUGA